AACGAACGCUGGCGGCAUGCCUAACACAUGCAAGUCGAACGAAGCCUUCGGGCUUAGUGGCGCACGGGUGCGUAACGCGUGGGAAUCUGCCCCUUGCUUCGGAAUAACAGUUAGAAAUGACUGCUAAUACCGGAUGAAGUCUUCGGACCAAAGAUUUAUCGGCAAGGGAUGAGCCCGCGUAGGAUUAGGUAGUUGGUGGGGUAAAGGCCUACCAAGCCGACGAUCCUUAGCUGGUCUGAGAGGAUGAUCAGCCACACUGGGACUGAGACACGGCCCAGACUCCUACGGGAGGCAGCAGUGGGGAAUAUUGGACAAUGGACGCAAGUCUGAUCCAGCAAUACCGCGUGAGUGAUGAAGGCCUUAGGGUUGUAAAGCUCUUUUACCAGGGAUGAUAAUGACAGUACCUGGAGAAUAAGCUCCGGCUAACUCCGUG
This 433-nucleotide ribosomal RNA is filed under the name uncultured bacterium. RNAcentral describes it as "partial 16S ribosomal RNA". It matches the Rfam family "Bacterial small subunit ribosomal RNA", at positions 29 to 507 of the family's 1533-position model. The record is from RNAcentral.